GACGAACGCUGGCGGCGUGCUUAACACAUGCAAGUCGAACGGAAAGGCCCUGCUUUUGUGGGGUGCUCGAGUGGCGAACGGGUGAGUAACACGUGAGUAACCUGCCCUUGACUUUGGGAUAACUUCAGGAAACUGGGGCUAAUACCGGAUAGGAGCUCCUGCUGCAUGGUGGGGGUUGGAAAGUUUCGGCGGUUGGGGAUGGACUCGCGGCUUAUCAGCUUGUUGGUGGGGUAGUGGCUUACCAAGGCUUUGACGGGUAGCCGGCCUGAGAGGGUGACCGGCCACAUUGGGACUGAGAUACGGCCCAGACUCCUACGGGAGGCAGCAGUGGGGAAUAUUGCACAAUGGGCGGAAGCCUGAUGCAGCAACGCCGCGUGCGGGAUGACGGCCUUCGGGUUGUAAACCGCUUUCGCCUGUGACGAAGUGUGAGUGACGGUAAUGGGUAAAGAAGCACCGGCUAACUACGUG
Molecule: ribosomal RNA, 468 nt
Filed under: uncultured bacterium
Lineage: Bacteria
Description: partial 16S ribosomal RNA
Rfam family: Bacterial small subunit ribosomal RNA
Source: RNAcentral